UACGGAGGAUGCGAGCGUUAUCCGGAUUUAUUGGGUUUAAAGGGUGCGUAGGCGGUAUGGUAAGUCAGCGGUAAAAGCCCGGGGCUCAACCCCGGCGAGCCGUUGAAACUGCCGUGCUAGAGAGGAAGAGAAGUAGGCGGAAUGCGCAGUGUAGCGGUGAAAUGCUUAGAUAUUGCGCAGAACUCCGAUUGCGAAGGCAGCUUACUAAGCCAUAACUGACACUGAAGCACGAAAGCGUGGGGAUCAAACAGG
Molecule: ribosomal RNA, 252 nt
Filed under: uncultured Bacteroidales bacterium
Lineage: Bacteria; Pseudomonadati; Bacteroidota; Bacteroidia; Bacteroidales
Description: partial 16S ribosomal RNA
Rfam family: Bacterial small subunit ribosomal RNA
Source: RNAcentral